This 334-nucleotide ribosomal RNA is filed under the name uncultured prokaryote. RNAcentral's name for it is "partial 16S ribosomal RNA". The record is from RNAcentral.
UGCCAUUAGCUGUACCAUACUCAGGCACACAAAAAUACUGAUAGCAGUCGGCGUGUGAAUCAUUAGCCUUGCGACCCUCGGCAGCAAGAACCAUACGACCAAUAUCACGAAAAUAGUCACGCAAAGCAUUGGGAUUAUCAUAAAACGCCUCUAAUCGGUCGUCAGCCAACGUGAGAGUGUCAAAAACGAUAAACCAACCAUCAGCAUGAGCCUGUCGCAUUGCAUUCAUCAAACGCUGAAUAGCAAAGCCUCUACGCGAUUUCAUAGUGGAGGCCUCCAGCAAUCUUGAACACGCAUCCUUAAUACCUUUCUUUUUGGGGUAAUUAUACUCAUC